GAUGAACGCUGGCGGCGUGCUUAACACAUGCAAGUCGAACGGAAAGGCCAGUGCUUGCCCUGGUACUCGAGUGGCGAACGGGUGAGUAACACGUGGGUGAUCUGCCCUGCACUUCGGGAUAAGCCUGGGAAACUGGGUCUAAUACCGGAUAGGACAAUGGUUUGGAUGCCGUUGUGGAAAGUUUUUUCGGUGUGGGAUGAGCUCGCGGCCUAUCAGCUUGUUGGUGGGGUCAUGGCCUACCAAGGCGUCGACGGGUAGCCGGCCUGAGAGGGUGUACGGCCACAUUGGGACUGAGAUACGGGCCAGACUCCCACGGGAGGCAGCAGUGGGGAAUAUUGCACAAUGGGCGCACGCCUGAGGCAGCGACGCCGCGUGGGGGAUGACGGCCUUCGGGUUGUAAACUCCUUUCGCUAGGGACGAAGCGUAUUUGUGACGGUACCUGGAGAAGAAGCACCGGCUAACUACGUG
This 468-nucleotide ribosomal RNA is filed under the name uncultured bacterium. RNAcentral's name for it is "partial 16S ribosomal RNA". It matches the Rfam family "Bacterial small subunit ribosomal RNA", at positions 28 to 507 of the family's 1533-position model. The record is from RNAcentral.